CGUGGCUAACGCUAGCAAACAUAACUUUGUUAACCCAACAUUUUGAUAGCUGUGGUGAUUUUCGGUGUUGAGGCGUAACGGCACUCUUGUUGCUUUUAAAAAAAAAAUAUAUAUAUAUAUAUAAUUGAGUGAAAUGAGGUGAUUGGAACUUGAAGUUGGAGUGGCCUAGGUCACUUAAGCCAACGUUAGCUCGUGUGGUACCUGCGCUAAUAUUAGCUAGCUAGCUAAGCAACUUGGCUGUAGCCAACAACGGGUAUCUGUUUUGACUUGAUGACAAUGGAGAAGCUGUGUGACUGGUUAGCCAGGCUGCCAGAUAUCUCGUUGGUUUAAAAUGGCGGAGGCCACUCGCUCGUUAUUCGGGUUUGCUAGCUAGUUAAAAAGCUGGUGGAUACUUUUUUCUCAUGGCUAGCCAACGUCAGAUGAGUUGCUCGAUAACGUUAUCAUAAUUGUCUCGACUGGUGGAAAGCACGUCCAGGUACGCUGCUCACAUUAACUCACUAUGCGCACACUGUGUGCUCAAUACCGGUGCAGGCUUGCUAGCUAGGUAGCUAAACAGCUAAAGUUAGCUGACUAGCAGUCAGUAGCAGUCGUUGAGGCUUAUCAGUAAACUUUUAACCAUCUGGGUAACUUGGCUAUCUAGCUAUCAACAAGCUAGCAGAGUGCUCCUUUCAACGGGACGGUUCGCUGUCAAGCUAGGCGCAGCUGUCUUAAGUCCGUGUUGCGUUGCUGUUUUUAGAGCAGUCUGGCCAGAUACGUUUAAAGAAGAGAAAUUUAGAGCAGUUUUCUGGCGCACAUUGCUGGCAUAUAUUGGCACUGACUUGGCUAUCGUCCCUGUGCUGUCGCUCUGUCCCUGCGUGCUGAUGUUGUCAAUGAGUUGCUCGCCCAAGCUAGUUUUGUAUGAGACACGAUAGUUUAAAAAUAUGAUCUAUGAAGUAUAUUUUUAGUUUUCGCGCUUUCCUGGAGUGUAUUGUAUAACCGCAACUCCAUGACAACUAUCGUGGCUAUUUAAUGUCAUAAGAAUACAUAUCCCGCAUAUGACAACAUCAAAUCAUGUCACAGGGCGAAAAUCCUUAACCUUUACCAAAGCCCCAGUCUGCCAGUUGUCAGAAGUUGGCACGGGCCAGGAACGCGUCUUUGGCGCCCGUUUCGUGUGUUAUGUCCUCUGCAUUUAAAGUAGUUUAUAGUUGGCAAUGUGUAGUGUAAUGGGUAAGGAACUAGUCUUGUAACCUAAAAAGGUCACAGGUUCGAUUCUUGGAUAGGACACUGCCUAUAUACCCAGCUGUAUAAAUGGAUGCAAACCUAAAAAAAUUGUGUAAGUCGCUCUGGAUAAGAGCGUCUGCUAAAUGCCACUAAUGUAAUGCAUGGAGUUAGUAAAUCGGCUGCGAAUGUACGGCAAACGUUACUGCGCCAAGGCAAAACUUUGGAGUCUUAUUGGACCGAAGGCAGUGUUAUUAUGGUGUAAUGUAGGGAGUUAAACGUAUAGCUCUGACGUUUACUCUUCGUGUGCACUGUAGCAUGUAAACCUUGCUUGGAGAUGGAGAACGCUCGUUGGCCUUUGCUGCUGAACCUCCUCUGUGGGCGCUGGAAUGAAUGUUAUCUAUGGACUCAACGGGCUGCCCCCUUGAUGGAAAAACUCGCGUUCAAGAGGUCAACCCGCGCGCGCUCAGUCGCAAUACCUUGGCAAUCACUGCGUAAAAAAAAAAACAAUGUGCAACUGUUUAUCCGCCAAAAAAAACGGACAUGCCGUUCCGCAGUAACUUAGUGUCCAACUCAAAGAACAACAGCUUGUUCCAAGUUGUUGCGUAUUGAUUAAAUAAUAAAUAAAUAAAUAAAUAAAUAAAUAGAAAUCAAUCCGCCCUGGGUUCGGGCACCCUGUGGAUAAAAAAAGACCCACCCUCGCCCGGCCCCUGGUGAAAAAGCGGCUUCAUUGAAUUUCACACCCUAAAUCAAUAUUUUUUCAGUAAAAAGAACCUGUUAGUCUUUACAGUAGUCGGUGAAUAGCUGAUAACUGCUUUCCUACUUCAGUGCAGAGGGACUGUGUUUGACACCACAUGUUUGUUUUUUUUUUUAAAUUAUUUUUUAUACUACAAAACACACCAUAAUAAUUAUUUUUGCUGUAAUAGAUGUGUUGCGCCUAACCCUGGUUUUGACUUAGCUUUUCCCAAUAGUAGGGUCACUCCAGGAAAAGUCACCAAAUGUAUUGCUGACGACAACACGUAAGAAUAUGAGGUGUGACUGGAAUUUGGGCUGGGAUUUAAAAAAAAAAAAAGAAAAAAAAAAGCGAAAUGGGUCUUGUCCCUCAAAGAUUGCAGUGCACCUAAUACCAUCGUAUUUAAUUUAUUGAUUUUGUUCUGUUUAUAUUUUGUAAUAGAUAAAAAUUGAAUCUGUCCUUUGCUCCCUCUUGCAUGAAGUAGCCUACUUGUUUUUGUUUACAGGUUUCCCUUUGACCUGCUUAAAAUGACACGGUCUGUGUUUUAAACAAGCAACCGAAUGUCCCCGCCGUUUGGAGUUUGCCCGUAAUGUUCGCGCGCGGUUUAUUAACCUGCCUUUUGGAAAGCUGCCCCGAUGUUUUCAGCAGGCACGCGGGGCCAUGUGCCGUUUAAACCGCCAUCGCUGCACAGCAGCAACGCGAGACACCGUUAAAUAUGUAAUCUAAGCAUUUUGGAGGCCCUUUUGUCAAUUAUUCUAAAGCUGUUGGUAAAGGAAGCUCGAGGAGAUGUUCUAUUUUAUCUUGGGGGGAAACGCGGGCAUGCACACACAUGCAUAUGCCGUGGAGUGAAAGAAAAAUAUAUGUAGGCAUGUUCUUAUUUAAAGGUCAAAUUAAAUUGCACGUGUAUUGUGUGUGAGAGUCACUACCUGCUUUUUGGAAGCACAAAUGCUUUUAACCCUAUACCCAACAGGUUCUAAAAUAAAAAAUAAAAAAUGGGGACUCAAAUGAGAAAUGUAAUGCCUUUUUGGGGCCCCGUCAAAUGCACCUUCUAGCACAGCCUGGCGGAUUACAGAAUCGUUCUGGGACCCACCUCAUUUUGGUCUCGCUACCCACAAUGUACCCGACACAGUGAAAUUAUGCCCAAGUUCAGACUCCGAAUUCAUCAGUCCAACCUUCAACCCAGGCGCAAUUGCCUACCGUUGCUGUGCACCUUCAGUUUAAUUCAUCCCCUUUCAAAACUGAAACACUGUUUGGGUCGCUGAUUCGAAGCUGCAUGCUAUUCAGAGCUCCAGUUUGUAAGCUGCUGUGUGAAAUGGCCAUUUUGAUGCUCAUAUUUAGACAUCAGUUCAAUUAAGGAUCCAGAUGUUUUAAUUGAGCAUUUAGGACCGAAAUUCAUGUGUCAAACGUCAACCCAGAGAAUAUGGACAUCGCUCUAAUAGAUGUGGUUUCUAAAAUGGUAUAUUUUUUGCAGAUUUAAAUGCAUUAAUCAGAACUAAAAAAUGUUUUUAAAAAAAGUGUUUGUGUGCCACACCCAUAGAGAGGAGGGGAGUUAAUAGUUGUGAAAGCAGUUUGAAUUUGAAAAGUGGGUUUUGGAAAUUUUUCAAGGGAUGGGGGGGUGGUGUAGGGGGUGGAAUGUUUCCAAAUUUAUGCAGGUGGAAUUUGGAAUUGAUAAGCCUUGAUUUAUACACACCAGCACAAUAAGCAUUGGCAAGUUCCUUUUUUAGGAGGGUGUGUUUUCACAACGCUCAUCGACUGUGCAGGCUAACUGUUCACAGCGUAGAACGUUAUUUCCCCUCUUCCUAGCGUGCUGAAAGUCAUUUACAACGUUUGUUCUGACUUUUUGUUGUGGGAGAAGGCUUUGUGAUUCCUUGCUUCCAUCGGGGUCCGUUUGUGUUGGGCCAGACACACCUGUGUCCCUUAAGGCACUCUCCUUUUAAGGUCUGUGCCUUUUAAGUCUCUGAUGGGAAAUCGGUUUGUGUCUUUCCUUCCCUUUAAUAAGACGCUUCUCACGCUUUGUUCUGUAGGAUGCAGUCUUGCGUUUACGUGACGCUCUGCUUCAGCGGGUUCUGGCGUACUGCCUCGGAUGAGCGUUCUUCUGAGGAAACGUCGCGGCGUUUCUCGUUUCUGAUUUCCCUUUUUCUUGUUUUCUUUCCGUCUCUGUUCUGCUUUUUUUCGCAGAGUUUUGAAUUGAAUUGAAGUUGAAGUGUUAGGAAUGUGUUUUUUUUCCCCCCCUGAAUUUACAGCUGAAGGCUUAGCGCUUCUACAGCGUGUUUUAGGCUAAUUGUUAGCCUUAUUCUUAAAUGGUAGCCUAUAUGAAGUGCAAAGCCUUUAUAUUCCUUGAUAAUUUUUUUUUAUAUUGCCAAAUUUGACAAUCUUUUUUCUUUUUUUCCCCCUCGUCUGGUUUUCCUGCUUUCCCACCGUCCCGUUAGUCCUGUAAAUGACCCUUCCGUGACCCCGUAGUCAGAGUCCGUCCCGUCG
Long non-coding RNA from Anguilla rostrata (American eel), 4408 nucleotides. RefSeq lists it as uncharacterized. The transcript has 2 exons. The record is from RefSeq and is a predicted model, not a curated record. NCBI's taxonomy places the organism in Eukaryota, Metazoa, Chordata, Actinopteri, Anguilliformes, Anguillidae.